RNAcentral lists this ribosomal RNA (486 nucleotides) under Saissetia oleae. RNAcentral's name for it is "SSU rRNA". It matches the Rfam family "Eukaryotic small subunit ribosomal RNA", at positions 51 to 467 of the family's 1831-position model. The record is from RNAcentral. Lineage: Eukaryota; Metazoa; Arthropoda; Insecta; Hemiptera; Coccidae.
AUGCAUGUCUCAGUACAAGCCGUCCUGUACGGUGAAACCGCGAAAGGCUCAUUAAAUCAGUUAUGGUUCCUUAGAUCGUACCCACGUUACAUGGAUAACUGUGGUAAUUCUAGAGCUAAUACAUGCCGACAGAGCUCCGACCAGCGUGUCGUCGUUUGUCGGCGGCCGUUCGGAAGGAGCGCUUUUAUUAGAUCAAAACCGGCCAAGCGUUGGAACGUGCUUCGCGCGCGUUCGAACGUAAGUGGCCCGCGCAAAGACUUGACGACUCUGAAUAACUUCGAGCUGAUCGCACGGUCCUAGUACCGGCGACGUAUCUUUCAAAUGUCUGCCUUAUCAACUGUCGACGGUAGGUUCUACGCCUACCGUGGUGGUAACGGGUAACGGGGAAUCAGGGUUCGAUUCCGGAGAGGGAGCCUGAGAAACGGCUACCACAUCCAAGGAAGGCAGCAGGCGCGUAAAUUAUCCAUUUGUAGUUCACAGAGAUAG